GACGAACGCUGGCGGCGUGCUUAACACAUGCAAGUCGAGCGGAAAGGCCCUUUCGGGGGUACUCGAGCGGCGAACGGGUGAGUAACACGUGAGUAAUCUGCCCCUGGCUUUGGGAUAGCCACCGGAAACGGUGAUUAAUACCGGAUACGACCACUUCUCGCAUGGGAUGGUGGUGGAAAGUUUUUCGGCCAGGGAUGUGCUCGCGGCCUAUCAGCUUGAUGGUGAGGUAAUGGCUCACCAUGGCUUCGACGGGUAGCCGGCCUGAGAGGGUGACCGGUCAAACUGGGACUGAGACACGGCCCAGACUCCUACGGGAGGCAGCAGUGGGGAAUAUUGGACAAUGGGCGGAAGCCUGAUCCAGCAACGCCGCGUGAGGGAUGACGGCCUUCGGGUUGUAAACCUCUUUCAGCAGGGACGAGGCGCAAGUGACGGUACCUGCAGAAGAAGCACCGGCCAACUACGUGCCAGCAGCCGCCGUAA
This 480-nucleotide ribosomal RNA is filed under the name uncultured bacterium. RNAcentral describes it as "partial 16S ribosomal RNA". It matches the Rfam family "Bacterial small subunit ribosomal RNA", at positions 28 to 523 of the family's 1533-position model. The record is from RNAcentral.